RNAcentral lists this ribosomal RNA (253 nucleotides) under uncultured bacterium. RNAcentral describes it as "partial 16S ribosomal RNA". It matches the Rfam family "Bacterial small subunit ribosomal RNA", at positions 524 to 776 of the family's 1533-position model. The record is from RNAcentral.
UACGAAGGUGGCAAGCGUUACUCGGAAUUACUAGGCGUAAAGGGCAGGUAGGUGGUUUGGAAAGUCUGUUGUGUAAGCUCCCGGCUUAACUGGGAGAGGUCAACAGAAACUUCCAGGCUUGAGUAUGGGAGAGGGUACUGGAAUUCCCGGUGUAGCGGUGAAAUGCGCAGAUAUCGGGAGGAACACCAAUGGCGAAAGCAGGUACCUGGACCAUUACUGACACUCAGCUGCGAAAGCUAGGGGAGCAAACAGG